Molecule: long non-coding RNA, 1083 nt
Organism: Schistocerca serialis cubense
Lineage: Eukaryota; Metazoa; Arthropoda; Insecta; Orthoptera; Acrididae
Exons: 5
Source: RefSeq, a predicted model, not a curated record
UGAUUGUGUCUUGCUGCUAUCGUACCUCGCAGGGAUUUUCUGCCAGGUUUCGAGACAAACUUUCGUUGUCGAAUCUAUUAUAAGCAUCUCGCAUUCAAGUCAGCGCCAAAUAUCGAGCUUCUGUAGAAGAUCACCAAUCUUGGAGAUUUUGCUUCUGUUUCAAUUUGCCGGUGUUUUUUUCGUUGUUUCUGCAACAGUGUUCUGACCCAUUUUGUGUACAAAGGAGGAUCAGCUCCGUCGUUUGUUAAUUUAUUUGAUCGUGCAUUUAGACCAAUAUCGGAUGAUGUUUUAUGUGUACCACCGGAAAUAAACAUGCAUUUUUGUCAACAUAUCAAGGCAAUUGUAUCACCUGAAUUGCGAGGUCAGUAAAAGGAUCCAAUUAUUAUUUUAUUCUGGUUGCCAACAAUGACCUCUGCCCAUACAAUUUCACAGGAACAAGAUAACAAAGUUUUCAGUUUGAAUCUGAUUCACAGUCACAAUGUACAUUACCUGAACAAAAAUAGCUCGAUGUCUAUGACACUAAUGUGGGAUGUGCCCAACCUUUGCUUUUUUGGAGGCUUGAGUUCUGCUGGGGACUCUUUUAAUGAGACGUCUGAGUGUCUUUUGAAUAAUGGCAGCCCAUUCUCUCUCAAGAGCCAAAACCAAAGAAGGUAGUUGGAUGUUGUGGUCUGCAGCGAAUCAACAAUCCAACUCAUCCCAAAGGUGUUCCAGUUCCAACCAGUGCAGCGUCUCACUCAUUGUAGAGGGAUGCUGACUCAGUUUUUCAGGAUACUGAAUGGGAAGCUGCGGUAUAGAAAAUGGCCCAACGACCACCAGUGUGUGUGUGUGUGUGUGUGUGUGUGUGUGUGUGUGUGUGUGAGUAGUGAGUGAAGUAUUAUGAAACAAUGUGUGUAUAGUAUGUGCAGUGACUGAUAGUGAGAUAUUAGUGAACAGUGUGGAAUUACAUUAUUUAAUAAGUUAUUUGCAAAAAAGUAUUGUAUACCUGGAGUAAAUCUAAUGAUUGUCUCUAACUAGAAGUCUGUAAAUGUAUGUGUAUACAAAUUAGCUUAUUUUAAAGUGAUCCAAACUUGUAAAUCCUUUGAC